CCCUUAGAUGUUCUGGGCUGCACGCGCGCUACACUGAAGCUAUCAACACGUUUUCCCUCCCUGAGAAGGGCGGGUAACCUUUUGAAUCAGCUUCGUGGUAGGGAUCGGGGCUUACAAUUGUUCCCCGUGAACCAGGAAUUCCUAGUAGACGCGAGUCAUAAGCUCGCAUCGAUUAAGUCCCUGCCCUUUGUACACACCGCCCGUCGCUACUACCGAUUGAACGUUUUAGUGAGGCAUUUGGACCGACGCAUCUCAGUUUAACCGCUGGUUUGUGUUGGAAAGACUUCCAAACUUGAGCGUUUAGAGGAAGUAAAAGUCGUAACA
This 324-nucleotide ribosomal RNA is filed under the name uncultured eukaryote. RNAcentral describes it as "partial 18S ribosomal RNA". It matches the Rfam family "Eukaryotic small subunit ribosomal RNA", at positions 1470 to 1796 of the family's 1831-position model. The record is from RNAcentral.